AGCGAACGCUGGCGGCAGGCUUAACACAUGCAAGUCGAGCGGGCAUCCUUGUGGUGUCAGCGGCAGACGGGUGAGUAACGCGUGGGAACGUGCCCUUCGGUUCGGAAUAACUCAGGGAAACUUGAGCUAAUACCGGAUACGUGCGAGAGCAGAAAGGUUUAUCUGCCGAAGGAUCGGCCCGCGUCUGAUUAGCUAGUUGGUGAGGUUACGGCUCACCAAGGCGACGAUCAGUAGCUGGUCUGAGAGGAUGAUCAGCCACACUGGGACUGAGACACGGCCCAGACUCCUACGGGAGGCAGCAGUGGGGAAUAUUGGACAAUGGGGGCAACCCUGAUCCAGCCAUGCCGCGUGAGUGAUGACGGCCUUAGGGUUGUAAAGCUCUUUUCUCCGGGACGAUAAUGACGAUACCGGAGGAAUAAGCCCCGGCUAACUUCGUG
RNAcentral lists this ribosomal RNA (437 nucleotides) under uncultured bacterium. RNAcentral describes it as "partial 16S ribosomal RNA". It matches the Rfam family "Bacterial small subunit ribosomal RNA", at positions 29 to 507 of the family's 1533-position model. The record is from RNAcentral.